UUAAUUUGAGAGUUUGAUCCUGGCUCAGGACGAACGCUGGCGGCGUGCCUAAUACAUGCAAGUCGAACGAACUCUGGUAUUGAUUGGUGCUUGCAUCAUGAUUUACAUUUGAGUGAGUGGCGAACUGGUGAGUAACACGUGGGAAACCUGCCCAGAAGCGGGGGAUAACACCUGGAAACAGAUGCUAAUACCGCAUAACAACUUGGACCGCAUGGUCCGAGUUUGAAAGAUGGCUUCGGCUAUCACUUUUGGAUGGUCCCGCGGCGUAUUAGCUAGAUGGUGGGGUAACGGCUUACCAUGGCAAUGAUACGUAGCCGACCUGAGAGGGUAAUCGGCCACAUUGGGACUGAGACACGGCCCAAACUCCUACGGGAGGCAGCAGUAGGGAAUCUUCCACAAUGGACGAAAGUCUGAUGGAGCAACGCCGCGUGAGUGAAGAAGGGUUUCGGCUCGUAAAACUCUGUUGUUAAAGAAGAACAUAUCUGAGAGUAACUGUUCAGGUAUUGACGGUAUUUAACCAGAAAGCCACGGCUAACUACGUGCCAGCAGCCGCGGUAAUACGUAGGUGGCAAGCGUUGUCCGGAUUUAUUGGGCGUAAAGCGAGCGCAGGCGGUUUUUUAAGUCUGAUGUGAAAGCCUUCGGCUCAACCGAAGAAGUGCAUCGGAAACUGGGAAACUUGAGUGCAGAAGAGGACAGUGGAACUCCAUGUGUAGCGGUGAAAUGCGUAGAUAUAUGGAAGAACACCAGUGGCGAAGGCGGCUGUCUGGUCUGUAACUGACGCUGAGGCUCGAAAGUAUGGGUAGCAAACAGGAUUAGAUACCCUGGUAGUCCAUACCGUAAACGAUGAAUGCUAAGUGUUGGAGGGUUUCCGCCCUUCAGUGCUGCAGCUAACGCAUUAAGCAUUCCGCCUGGGGAGUACGGCCGCAAGGCUGAAACUCAAAGGAAUUGACGGGGGCCCGCACAAGCGGUGGAGCAUGUGGUUUAAUUCGAAGCUACGCGAAGAACCUUACCAGGUCUUGACAUACUAUGCAAAUCUAAGAGAUUAGACGUUCCCUUCGGGGACAUGGAUACAGGUGGUGCAUGGUUGUCGUCAGCUCGUGUCGUGAGAUGUUGGGUUAAGUCCCGCAACGAGCGCAACCCUUAUUAUCAGUUGCCAGCAUUAAGUUGGGCACUCUGGUGAGACUGCCGGUGACAAACCGGAGGAAGGUGGGGAUGACGUCAAAUCAUCAUGCCCCUUAUGACCUGGGCUACACACGUGCUACAAUGGAUGGUACAACGAGUUGCGAACUCGCGAGAGUAAGCUAAUCUCUUAAAGCCAUUCUCAGUUCGGAUUGUAGGCUGCAACUCGCCUACAUGAAGUCGGAAUCGCUAGUAAUCGCGGAUCAGCAUGCCGCGGUGAAUACGUUCCCGGGCCUUGUACACACCGCCCGUCACACCAUGAGAGUUUGUAACACCCAAAGUCGGUGGGGUAACCUUUUAGGAACCAGCCGCCUAAGGUGGGACAGAUGAUUAGGGUGAAGUCGUAACAAGGUAGCCGUAGGAGAACCUGCGGCUGGAUCACCUCCUUUCUAAGGAA
RNAcentral lists this ribosomal RNA (1576 nucleotides) under Lactiplantibacillus plantarum. RNAcentral describes it as "Lactobacillus plantarum 16S ribosomal RNA". It matches the Rfam family "Bacterial small subunit ribosomal RNA". The record is from RNAcentral. Lineage: Bacteria; Bacillati; Bacillota; Bacilli; Lactobacillales; Lactobacillaceae.